CAUAUCAAUAAGCGGAGGAAAAGAAACCAACAGGGAUUGCCCUAGUAACGGCGAGUGAAGCGGCAACAGCUCAAAUUUGAAAUCUGGCUCUCGGGCCCGAGUUGUAAUUUGUAGAGGAUACUUUUGAUGCGGUGCCUUCCGAGUUCCCUGGAACGGGACGCCAUAGAGGGUGAGAGCCCCGUCUGGUUGGAUGCCAAAUCUCUGUAAAGUUCCUUCAACGAGUCGAGUAGUUUGGGAAUGCUGCUCUAAAUGGGAGGUAUAUGUCUUCUAAAGCUAAAUACCGGCCAGAGACCGAUAGCGCACAAGUAGAGUGAUCGAAAGAUGAAAAGCACUUUGAAAAGAGAGUUAAAAAGUACGUGAAAUUGUUGAAAGGGAAGCGUUUAUGACCAGACUUGGGCUUGGUUAAUCAUCUGGGGUUCUCCCCAGUGCACUUUUCCAGUCCAGGCCAGCAUCAGUUUUCCCCGGGGGAUAAAGGCGGCGGGAAUGUGGCUCUCUUCGGGGAGUGUUAUAGCCCACCGUGUAAUACCCUGGGGGGGACUGAGGUUCGCGCAUCUGCAAGGAUGCUGGCGUAAUGGUCAUCAACGACCCUC
Molecule: ribosomal RNA, 590 nt
Filed under: Fusarium oxysporum
Lineage: Eukaryota; Fungi; Ascomycota; Sordariomycetes; Hypocreales; Nectriaceae
Description: eukaryotic LSU rRNA
Rfam family: Eukaryotic large subunit ribosomal RNA
Source: RNAcentral